Molecule: non-coding RNA, 29 nt
Filed under: Mus musculus (house mouse)
Lineage: Eukaryota; Metazoa; Chordata; Mammalia; Rodentia; Muridae
Source: RNAcentral
UGAGGUUAUUGGCUCCUUAAUCUACAUGC